GCGUCUGUAGCCUAGUUGGUAAAGGCAGCACUCCAGUAUGUGUCUCAGCAUAGCUGAGGUCGUGAGAUCGACUCUCACCAGACACA
This 86-nucleotide transfer RNA is filed under the name Puccinia triticina 1-1 BBBD Race 1. Its description in RNAcentral is "tRNA-Und (NNN) (tRNA-Und-NNN-32-1)". It matches the Rfam family "tRNA". Rfam says of the family: Transfer RNA (tRNA) molecules are approximately 80 nucleotides in length. Their secondary structure includes four short double-helical elements and three loops (D, anti-codon, and T loops). Further hydrogen bonds mediate the characteristic L-shaped molecular structure. tRNAs have two regions of fundamental functional importance: the anti-codon, which is responsible for specific mRNA codon recognition, and the 3' end, to which the tRNAs corresponding amino acid is attached (by aminoacyl-tRNA synthetases). tRNAs cope with the degeneracy of the genetic code in two manners: having more than one tRNA (with a specific anti-codon) for a particular amino acid; and 'wobble' base-pairing, i.e. permitting non-standard base-pairing at the 3rd anti-codon position. The record is from Rfam by way of RNAcentral. Lineage: Eukaryota; Fungi; Basidiomycota; Pucciniomycetes; Pucciniales; Pucciniaceae.